GAUGAACGCUAGCGGCAGGCCUAAUACAUGCAAGUCGAGGGGCAGCGGGGUAGCAAUACUGCCGGCGACCGGCGCACGGGUGCGUAACACGUAUGCAACCUACCUUAAACUGGGGGAUAGCCCGGGGAAACUCGGAUUAAUACCCCAUAAUACAUUUGGAACACAUGUUUUGAUUGUUAAAGAUUUAUCGGUUUAAGAUGGGCAUGCGUUCGAUUAGCUAGUUGGCGGGGUAAUGGCUCACCAAGGCUACGAUCGAUAGGGGGUCUGAGAGGAUGAUCCCCCACACUGGUACUGAGAUACGGACAGACUCCUACGGGAGGCAGCAGUAGGGAAUAUUGGUCAAUGGAGGCAACUCUGAACCAGCCAUGCCGCGUGUAAGGAAGAA
RNAcentral lists this ribosomal RNA (385 nucleotides) under uncultured bacterium. Its description in RNAcentral is "bacterial SSU rRNA". It matches the Rfam family "Bacterial small subunit ribosomal RNA", at positions 28 to 412 of the family's 1533-position model. The record is from RNAcentral.